UACGGAGGGUGCAAGCGUUGUCCGGAUUUAUUGGGUUUAAAGGGUGCGUAGGCGGCCCGGUAAGUCAGUGGUGAAAGCCUCCAGCUCAACUGGAGAACUGCCAUUGAUACUGCCGGGCUUGAGUACAGACGAGGUUGGCGGAAUUGAUUGUGUAGCGGUGAAAUGCAUAGAUUCAAUCAAGAACUCCGAUUGCGUAGGCAGCUAACUAGGCUGUAACUGACGCUGAGGCACGAAAGCGUGGGGAGCGAACAGG
This 253-nucleotide ribosomal RNA is filed under the name uncultured bacterium. Its description in RNAcentral is "partial 16S ribosomal RNA". It matches the Rfam family "Bacterial small subunit ribosomal RNA", at positions 524 to 776 of the family's 1533-position model. The record is from RNAcentral.